UAGGGAAUCUUCGGCAAUGGGGGGAACCCUGACCGAGCAACGCCGCGUGAGUGAAGAAGGUUUUCGGAUCGUAAAGCUCUGUUGUUAAGGAAGAACGAGUGUGAGAAUGGAAAGUUCAUACUGUGACGGUACUUAACCAGAAAGGGACGGCUAACUACGUGCCAGCAGCCGCGGUAAUACGUAGGUCCCGAGCGUUGUCCGGAUUUAUUGGGCGUAAAGCGAGCGCAGGCGGUCAAUUAAGUCUGAUGUGAAAGCCCCCGGCUCAACCGGGGAGGGUCAUUGGAAACUGGUUGACUUGAGUGCAGAAGAAGAGAGUGGAAUUCCAGGUGUAGCGGUGAAAUGCGUAGAUAUAUGGAGGAACACCAGUGGCGAAGGCGACUCUCUGGUCUGUAACUGACGCUGAUGUGCGAAAGCGUGGGGAUCAAACAGG
RNAcentral lists this ribosomal RNA (430 nucleotides) under Bacteroidota bacterium. Its description in RNAcentral is "Bacteroidetes bacterium partial 16S ribosomal RNA". It matches the Rfam family "Bacterial small subunit ribosomal RNA", at positions 355 to 776 of the family's 1533-position model. Lineage: Bacteria; Pseudomonadati; Bacteroidota. The record is from RNAcentral.